This 403-nucleotide ribosomal RNA is filed under the name Simulium ruficorne. Its description in RNAcentral is "partial 12S ribosomal RNA". The record is from RNAcentral. Lineage: Eukaryota; Metazoa; Arthropoda; Insecta; Diptera; Simuliidae.
UUAAGAGCGACGGGCGAUGUGUGAUGUUUUAGAGCUAUAAUCAAAUAAACUAUAUUCAUUAUUUUACUUUUAAAUCCACCUUAAAAUCAUCAUUUCAGACAAUUUAACGUAUAAAUAAAUUUAUUGUAACCCAUCUCUAMUAAAGCAUAAACUGCACCUUGACCUGACAUCAAUUAUAUUUUUAAAUUAAGAAAAUUAUUACUCUUUUAAGAUAUUCUGAUAACGGCGAUAUACAAAUUGAAAACAAACCUUAGUAAGGUCCAACGGGGAUUAUCGAUUACAGGACAGGUUCCUCUAAAUAGACUAAAACACCGCCAAAUUCUUUAAGUUUGAAGACCAUAACUAUUACUACUCUAGUAUUAAUAUUUACAUUUUAAAUAAUAGGGUAUCUAAUCCUAGUUUA